GAUGAACGCUGGCGGCGUGCUUAACACAUGCGAGUCGAACGGUGAACACGGAGCUUGCUCUGUGGGAUCAGUGGCGAACGGGUGAGUAACACGUGAGCAGCCUGCCCCUGACUCUGGGAUAAGCGCUGGAAACGGCGUCUAAUACUGGAUAUGUGACGUGACCGCAUGGUCUGCGUUUGGAAAGAUUUUUCGGUUGGGGAUGGGCUCGCGGCCUAUCAGCUUGUUGGUGAGGUAAUGGCUCACCAAGGCGUCGACGGGUAGCCGGCCUGAGAGGGUGACCGGCCACACUGGGACUGAGACACGGCCCAGACUCCUACGGGAGGCAGCAGUGGGGAAUAUUGCACAAUGGGCGCAAGCCUGAUGCAGCAACGCCGCGUGAGGGAUGACGGCCUUCGGGUUGUAAACCUCUUUUAGCAGGGAAGAAGCGAAAGUGACGGUACCUGCAGAAAAAGCGCCGGCUAACUACGUG
RNAcentral lists this ribosomal RNA (469 nucleotides) under uncultured bacterium. RNAcentral describes it as "partial 16S ribosomal RNA". It matches the Rfam family "Bacterial small subunit ribosomal RNA", at positions 28 to 507 of the family's 1533-position model. The record is from RNAcentral.